AAUAAAUAUAUUUUCCUUCAUUCAUUCCUUCACUCUUCUCUCUGACACACUCAAACACUCCAAUUUAGAGAGAGAAAAAACCCCAGAAUUUAGAGAGAGAAAGCUUGGUUCAAGCAACAAUGGUGAUGACCUUGAGAAAAAGGGUUCCUUCAAUUGCACCACAAAUUGAGUCUGAUUCUUAAACCCCACCAAAAAAGAAGAAAACCCAGAAAAAUUCAAAACCCAUUAAGAGAAGAGAGACUUUUUCCUCUUCAGAAUCUGAAUUUAACUCAGAUUCUGAGAAGGAAAAUGAGAGUUCAUUUGAGUAUGAGAAGAUUAAAGAACAGAGGAUUCGAGAAAACAGAGAGAGAAUGGAGAAAUUAGGGAUUUUUACUCUUUCUUCUCAAGUUUUUAAUGGUAAUCAAAAGGUGGGUCGUCGCAAAAACCCUCCUCAGAAGAAGAAGCGUUAUCCUCCUCUUUAUCCUCGUGUUCGCGAUCGUUCGUAUGAUUAUGCGAGGAGGUUUUCUGGUUGAAGGAUAUGGAGACUGAGAGGUCAUUGAAAGAGAUGGGAAUUUCGAGAAAAGCUUUUGGGAAUUUCGACCGAGGUUUAUACUGAAGAAGAUGAAAAGCUUUUGGGUGAUUGCGAGACGAUUUGGACCUUGGAGGCUGAUAGCCUAGACGAGGAUGGUGAACCUGAUCUUGAAAGGCCACCUUGUCACCAAUGCAGGCAAAGGCGUGCCAGGAAAUUUCCCUAUUGCAGUAAAUGUAGGACUCCCCAGGGGCAGAUAUGUGGAGAAUGCUUGUACACUAGGGCUACCUUCCAACUUGGUACCCUAGAUUCACCAGUGAGCUGUCGAAUGACCAGCUUGGAAUCUCCGCGAACUUAUAGGAACUGAAACCCCAUUAGGACCGCCGCUUCGAGGCCAAUAACAAGCGAUUCAAAAGAGUUGGUAUGCGCGCACAUAGCAUUUGCGAGACAAGGGGUACUCAAAGACCUUUUGACUACGGUUCCAUUAAGUAAUCUCGGGAAAUGUCAAGUUAUUACGUCCCCCGGGCAUUAGAUUGCAGCUUAGUGUGAAGAAUAGGUUAUGCGUUAUGUGGCAGAAUCAGAAUUAGAGUAUCAAAAUCUCGAGGGGAAUCGUCGUAUAUAUGAUGAAAGGGAUGUAUGGUAUUUGAUCUUUCGAAUCACUGCUUUGUUUUCAAGCUCUAAAAGCUUGAUUGAUAAAUGACUGAGAAUACUGUAAAGUUAGUAACUUACAUUUAUCUUUAUUGGCUUUACAUUUAUUUUUUGAGUGACUGUCCUAAGUUGUGCUUGUGCUACACUACAUGUCUAUAGGUAUGGAGAAAAUGUUCUGGAAGCUCGCCAAAAUCCAACUUGGUCAUGCCCUGCUUGUCGAGGCAUGUAACUGCAGCCGCUGCCGCCGGACAAAGGGAUGGGAUCCAAUUAAUAUUCCACACUCCAAGGCCCUUGCUGAGCCCUGAGGGCUAAUGUUCCUUUUGUAGGUCAUUGAAUCAGGAUUCAACUCAGUAGCACAUAUCUUAUCUUAACUCGACGUGCUGGUGCUACACCAAAAGAGUUGAAUGAUGGAGCUGAGGUGGUUGAUUUAACAGCUGAAGAGAUAGCAGCAGCCCCACAUGAUGAAGGCUCUGACUAUUCUGCUGAGUGGUCAGGAGCUGAAUCUGAUGAUUCUGACAGUGAGGAUGAGACAAAAGGUGAUAAGAAUAACGAGGAGCAGCCUGAUAAGAAUGAUGAGGAGCAGCUUGAUGAGAAUCAAGUUGCUUCUGCUGAGAAAUCUAUUGAUGCUGCUGUUGCUACUGAUAGAGAUGAAGUUCUUUAGGAGCUCAACUGUCUAAAACUUGCAUCUUUAGCCUGAAAUGAAGAUUGUACACAACUUCUUGGUGAAGUUGAUACAAUAGAUUAGCUAGAGUUGCAGUAGGUUUAGUCUUUUGAUCUAUAGGAGUUCUUGAAGCCUUUUACCCUUAUUUGGCUAGUAUAUACUAGUAUUUCCGGUGUAGGAGAAUGCUGGCUUCUGUUUUGGUACUUUUUGGUAGUUUAAGUAUCUCAGGAAGUUGCAUAACUUUUGCAAUGAAGGUUCUUAUGCCUCCUUGGCAGCUUCUUAUCCUUGUAUAGUUUUAGGUUAUUUGCUUAUUUGCCAAUUGUCCCGGUUAGCUCGAUCUUUAUUUUGGUUUUUGGAUUCUUGGGAGCCAGGUAGGCAAUUUUGUAUAUUUAUUUCUUGUUUGCAAUGAAAGGCUAUGUUUCGUUAUAUUGCUUUAUUCAACAAAUCCAAAACUACUGAUGAAGUCUCAAAAAUUUACCUUAAUAAAGCUUAAAGGCUAGUGAAAUUG
Long non-coding RNA from Chenopodium quinoa (quinoa), 2325 nucleotides. RefSeq lists it as uncharacterized. The record is from RefSeq and is a predicted model, not a curated record. Lineage: Eukaryota; Viridiplantae; Streptophyta; Magnoliopsida; Caryophyllales; Amaranthaceae. The transcript is spliced from 5 exons.